Molecule: ribosomal RNA, 1030 nt
Filed under: Rana hanluica
Lineage: Eukaryota; Metazoa; Chordata; Amphibia; Anura; Ranidae
Description: partial large subunit ribosomal RNA
Rfam family: Bacterial large subunit ribosomal RNA
Source: RNAcentral
AGCUCUACCUUAGUUUUUUUGUUAAACUGAACAAGACCUCAAACUUAAGAGCUAUUCAAAUAAGGCACAGCUUAUUUGAAAUAGGAUACAACCUACAACAUAGGGUAACCGAGAGUAACUUAAAUAAAGUGGGCCUAAAAGCAGCCAUCUUUAAAAAAGCGUUAAAGCUUAACUACUCCUCACUCACAAUACCUAAAGCCCUCACUAACCCCUCAUUACUAUUGAACAGUUUUAUACUCAUAUAAAAGCUAUUAUGCUAGAACUAGUAACAAGAAAUUGCCUUUCUCCUAAAUGUAAGUAUACACCAAAAUAAACUCUGUUGGCUAUUAACGUGAAUGCUAAACUAUAGUAACACCCGCUAGAAAACUCUAUAACUCUUAACGUUAACCUUACACCAGAACAUUCCAGGAAAGAUUAAAAGAAAAAGAAGGAACUCGGCAAAUCAUAGCCCCGCCUGUUUACCAAAAACAUCGCCUCUUGCAAAACAUAAGAGGUCCAGCCUGCCCAGUGACGAAGUUCAACGGCCGCGGUACCCUAACCGUGCGAAGGUAGCAUAAUCACUUGUUCUUUAAAUGAGGACUUGUAUCAACGGCACUACGAGGGCUAUACUGUCUCCUUUUUCCAAUCAGUGAAACUGAUCUCCCCGUGAAGAAGCGGGGAUCAAAAUAUAAGACGAGAAGACCCCAUGGAGCUUUAAACUCUCUGUGCACUUCUGUGCCCCUACAUCAUUAGACAUAAGAAAUCUGUACACUAGUUUUAGGUUGGGGGGACCACGGAGUACAACUUAACCUCCUUAACAAAUGGGUUAAUACCCUUAUCCACGAGACACACCUCUAAGAAUUAUUAAACUAAUGCCUAUGACCCGAUAUUCGAUCAAUGAACCAAGUUACCCUGGGGAUAACAGCGCAAUCUACUUCAAGAGCCCAUAUCGACAAGUAGGUUUACGACCUCGAUGUUGGAUCAGGGUAUCCCGGUGGUGCAGCCGCUACCAAUGGUUCGUUUGUUCAACGAUUAAAACCCUACGUGAUUU